AUACGGAGGAUCCGAGCGUUAUCCGGAUUUAUUGGGUUUAAAGGGUGCGCAGGCGGCCAUUUAAGUCAGCGGUUAAAUCGUGGGGCUCAACCCCAUUCUGCCGUUGAUACUGGGUGGCUUGAUUGCGGUCGAGGUUGGCGGAAUUCGUUGUGUAGCGGUGAAAUGCAUAGAUAUGACGAAGAACACCGAUUGCGUAGGCAGCUGACCAGACCGCAAAUGACGCUCAUGCACGAAAGUGCGGGGAUCGAACAGGAUUAGAUACCCUGGUAUUCCACGCCGUAAACGAUGAUGACUAACCGUCGGCGAUAGACAGCCGGUGGCCAAGCGAAAGCGAUAAGUCAUCCACCUGGGGAGUACGUCGGCAACGAUGAAACUCAAAUGAAUUGACGGGG
RNAcentral lists this ribosomal RNA (392 nucleotides) under uncultured bacterium. Its description in RNAcentral is "partial 16S ribosomal RNA". It matches the Rfam family "Bacterial small subunit ribosomal RNA", at positions 523 to 918 of the family's 1533-position model. The record is from RNAcentral.